This 251-nucleotide ribosomal RNA is filed under the name uncultured prokaryote. Its description in RNAcentral is "partial 16S rRNA". It matches the Rfam family "Bacterial small subunit ribosomal RNA", at positions 525 to 775 of the family's 1533-position model. The record is from RNAcentral.
ACGGAGGGUGCAAGCGUUAUUCGGAAUUACUGGGCGUAAAGCGCGUGUAGGCGGUCCUGCAAGUCUGAUGUGAAAGCCCCGGGCUUAACCCGGGAAGUGCAUUGGAAACUGCGGGACUUGAGUACAGGAGAGGAUGGUGGAAUUCCCUGUGUAGAGGUGAAAUUCGUAGAGAUCGGGAGGAAUAUCAGUGGCGAAGGCGGCCAACUGGACUGUAAUUGACGCUGAGGCGCGAAAGCGUUGGGAGCAAACAG